AACGCAUCUUGCGCUUUUGGGUUAUUCCUGAAAGCAUGUUUGUUGGAGUAACGGAAAGUCUCAACCCCGUCUAACUUUUUUGUUAGUCUGUCAGGGUUUGAAUCUUGAUACUUGUUGUCUUUAAGUAGACCAACUGUGUUGAAAAAUAUGAAGCCGAACGUGUAUUUAUCCUCGUGAACUUAAGCAGGCUCCGGCUAACUAUUGUUGUAAUACAUUUUCAAUAGUGUUGUUUAGUUCGCCUUAACGAGUUUAUACCGUAAAGUAAGCUUACCAAUUUUAUUGCUCAGUGCAAUAAGCCUUUUUAAACUUGUUCUCCAAUCAAGCAGGACUACCCGCUGAACUUAA
This 345-nucleotide unclassified non-coding RNA is filed under the name uncultured fungus. RNAcentral's name for it is "partial contains 5.8S ribosomal RNA, internal transcribed spacer 2, and large subunit ribosomal RNA". The record is from RNAcentral. Lineage: Eukaryota; Fungi.